UUCUUCAUUUCUAGAAAGUAACCACAGUGCACACAAGAAGACAAGUAACUGCCCUAGAUUGUAGAUACUGAGGUGGAUGUCUUUCUUAACGUCCAGUGUCCUUUGUCUUAAGAUUUGGUGCAAUAUAU
Molecule: small nucleolar RNA, 128 nt
Organism: Bison bison bison
Lineage: Eukaryota; Metazoa; Chordata; Mammalia; Artiodactyla; Bovidae
Source: Ensembl